UACGAAGGGGGCUAGCGUUGCUCGGAAUUACUGGGCGUAAAGCGUGCGCAGGCGGUUUCUUAAGUCAGAUGUGAAAGCCCCGGGCUUAACCUGGGAACUGCGUUUGAAACUGGGAGACUUGAGUGUGGCAGAGGGGGGUGGAAUUCCACGUGUAGCAGUGAAAUGCGUAGAUAUGUGGAGGAACACCGAUGGCGAAGGCAGCCCCCUGGGUUAACACUGACGCUCAUGCACGAAAGCGUGGGGAGCAAACAGG
Molecule: ribosomal RNA, 253 nt
Filed under: uncultured bacterium
Lineage: Bacteria
Description: partial 16S ribosomal RNA
Rfam family: Bacterial small subunit ribosomal RNA
Source: RNAcentral